Vicia villosa (hairy vetch) is the source of this 1542-nucleotide long non-coding RNA. RefSeq lists it as uncharacterized. The transcript has 5 exons. NCBI's taxonomy places the organism in Eukaryota, Viridiplantae, Streptophyta, Magnoliopsida, Fabales, Fabaceae. The record is from RefSeq and is a predicted model, not a curated record.
GAUUUUGCAUUUUUUUAGCAUACAAUUUAGGGUUUGCUAACAAAUCAUGUUUUUACUAUGUAUAUCUGAAUACUACUGAUUUGAAAUUAUGUUCACAUGCUAUGGAUGCUUUUAAGAUUUGUAAAUGAGUUUUUUAUGCAGCAAAACACAUUCUUCAAUUAGGUUUCUUGAUUUGAGAUUUUUCUGCAUCUGAAGGGGAAAAUUAAUAUCAGUCAAGUGGAUUUUUACAACUCCUUGAGUGGAUUAUUAUUAGGUAACUCCUUGAUUUGAAGUUUAACUGACUGAAAAUGAGAAUUUCUUUUUUAUGUGCAGUUGGAGAGUAAAAACCUAGAGCUUGCAAAAGCUCUUAGAGUAUAUGCUGGAACUGAACCUGAUGCAGAUCUUGGUCCGAUUAUCAACAAACAGACAAAAGGAGCGAGUACACUCAUUAAUGAGUUCAAUCUAGAUGUUGCAGCAUGUCUGGGUGUUGCAGGAAGUACAACAUAAUGAUAAUGUUUUCUCGUCUCCAUCUCCGGCAAAUUCUAUUUGUUGCAACGAUGACAAAUCUGUUCGUUCAUUCUUGCAACAAUCAUAAAUGACCCUAUUAUGCUUAAUAUUGUCAUAUUGGUGUUUGCAAACAAAUAGGACCUGAGUGGAGCGAUGACGCCAGUGAAAAGUAUGUGAAGUACUAGGUCUCUUUGAUCUAAAGAUUAUAAAAUGGUACAUAUAAGGCAAAUGUGCCCUCAAGGGAGAUGACCUAUACAACGGCUUGGACUGGUCGGCUUCAUAUCCGAAGGCGAUAAAAGCUGAGGGAACCUUGUCCUUCUAAUUGUCAAGGCUAAGGACUACACGAGAAAGCAUCAUGUCAUCAUUGCUUGCAGUUACUUCUAUGUAUGACUUUCUUCUUAUUACAUUAGGAUUGUUAUAUUAUGGCUCUAAUGGUGCUACAUCAUAUCGGUAUUUGAAAAAAUACCAACUGUUUGUUACAGAGUUGCAUAGCAGAAUGAACAAAACUACGAUUUUCUGUGAUUUGCCAUUGACAACAUUGUAGUAAAUGUAUCCUCAUGUUGAUGGAUAUUUCUGCAUUUGUAACCACUUAUUACAAUUUAUUUGCACUUUAAAAUGUUUUAUGAUAUUCAUAUUUUCUGUUACAUUUUUUGUGUGAUGUUCCUAUUUGCAUUUAUCUUUAUUUUGUAAGUUAUUGUUGCUCAAGUUUCUUUAAUACAUGCUUUCAAAUAUUAUUGUUUAUGUUAACCUGUAUGGCAGUGAUUGAGUUUCAUGGUUAAUGUUAAUAUCAUAUGCAGGAAUAUUAGUAUAUUGCAUAAAAAACAAUUGCUGGCUUCUAUUCCUCUAAGUCAGAGCCUCAUCAAUUCACUAGAACUGGCUCAAGACCUAUGUAUUUUCCAAUGGAGGUUAAAUCUAAUUCAUGUUCUUAACCAUUUUUGUUAGACCUUAAAUCUGAUGGGGUAGUUUUAUUCCUAUUAACUUUGUUUAAUUGAGCCUGGACAGAGGUACUCCAAAAGAUUGAAUGGGCUACUAUAUUAUGUGAUAUAUUAAUGUUCU